CCGCCGCAGUAACACAUGCAAGUCGAACGGGUCCUUCGGGACUAGUGGCGGACGGGUGAGUAACGCGUGGGAACGUGCCCUUUGCUACGGAAUAGCCCCGGGAAACUGGGAGUAAUACCGUAUACGCCCGAGAGGGGAAAGAUUUAUCGGCAAAGGAUCGGCCCGCGUUGGAUUAGGUAGUUGGUGGGGUAAUGGCCUACCAAGCCGACGAUCCAUAGCUGGUUUGAGAGGAUGAUCAGCCACACUGGGACUGAGACACGGCCCAGACUCCUACGGGAGGCAGCAGUGGGGAAUCUUAGACAAUGGGGGGAACCCUGAUCUAGCCAUGCCGCGUGAUCGAUGAAGGCCUUAGGGUUGUAAAGAUCUUUCAGAUGGGAAGAUAAUGACGGUACCAUCAGAAGAAGCCCCGGCUAACUCCGUGCCAGCCGCCGCUGUAAAAC
This 440-nucleotide ribosomal RNA is filed under the name uncultured bacterium. Its description in RNAcentral is "bacterial SSU rRNA". It matches the Rfam family "Bacterial small subunit ribosomal RNA", at positions 39 to 526 of the family's 1533-position model. The record is from RNAcentral.